This 113-nucleotide non-coding RNA is filed under the name Streptomyces lincolnensis. RNAcentral's name for it is "Glycine sequence". It matches the Rfam family "Glycine riboswitch aptamer". From Rfam's summary of the family: This family represents the bacterial glycine riboswitch. Lineage: Bacteria; Bacillati; Actinomycetota; Actinomycetes; Kitasatosporales; Streptomycetaceae. The record is from Rfam by way of RNAcentral.
UGAAUCCGCGCGGGAGAGUCCCCAGCCGUACGUCAGCAGUACGACGUCGCCGGGGCGCCGAAGGAGCAAGUCCCUCCCUUGAAUCUCUCAGGCCCCGUUACCGCGCGGGCGAG